AUAAUUGGCUUUGUUAUAAAAGUAUUUCAUGACCGGUGCGGAUUUUAGAGAUGUACAAGAGACAAAUGUUACAUUAAUGUUUAAUGCCUUGUGAUACGGGUCUAUGUGCACUCACACACAGUCACUACGUCAUUGCACAACACAAGAUCCAAUAUCUUACCAUAUACGUUAGACACUCCAUUAUACUGGUACAAGUCAAGAUAACUUAGCUCAUCGAUCAAAUUACACUCAUCCAUGGAAGUAUAAUUAGAUGGUAAUAAAUGUCGGCUACUUGACGUCCACACAAUGUUACUUAGAUUAAAAUCACCGAUAAUUAGGAAUUUAUCGUCAGGAUUAUUAAUUAUUACUUCUCCUAGUUUAUCAAGAAAAUUAGAGAGUUGACAAGAAAAAGAGUAACCCUGCCCUUGCUUGCAUAAGUAAACAACACAUAAAUGUAGCUUAACCGUUCCAUUAUUAACCAACAAAGUGAGCCAUAAGUCUUCCGCCGAAGAAUGGUAGGUAGGCUGCGGAUUGACGGCCAAUUCUUUCCGCGUAGCAAUAAUAACACCGCCACCUCGACUCUGGCCCGUAAGCGCCAGGUCGCGGUCACGCCGCCAAACUACAUACCUGCUAUCAAAAAGUUCCGAAUCCACGAUACCGUCCACAAGCCAUGUCUCUGUUAAAAAUAUUACAUCAUAGGAGGCAAAUAGAAUAUUGCGAUAGAAAUCUAUAGUUUUGGAUCGAAGACCCCUAACAUUCUGAUAAUAAACAGAGAGUAUUCCGUUAUAGUUACUAGACAUUAUAAGAGGCUAAAGAUAAAACACAAUAGCAAUUACAUAAUCGAUAGAAAUACGAGGCA
Molecule: long non-coding RNA, 838 nt
Organism: Cydia splendana
Lineage: Eukaryota; Metazoa; Arthropoda; Insecta; Lepidoptera; Tortricidae
Exons: 2
Source: RefSeq, a predicted model, not a curated record